CACUCCUGCGGGAGGCAGCAGUGGGGAAUAUUGGACAAUGGGCGCAAGCCUGAUCCAGCCAUGCCGCGUGAGUGAUGAAGGCCCUAGGGUUGUAAAGCUCUUUCACCGGUGAAGAUAAUGACGGUAACCGGAGAAGAAGCCCCGGCUAACUUCGUGCCAGCAGCCGCGGUAAUACGAAGGGGGCUAGCGUUGUUCGGAUUUACUGGGCGUAAAGCGCACGUAGGCGGACUAUUAAGUCAGGGGUGAAAUCCCGGGGCUCAACCCCGGAACUGCCUUUGAUACUGGUAGUCUUGAGUUCGAGAGAGGUGAGUGGAAUUCCGAGUGUAGAGGUGAAAUUCGUAGAUAUUCGGAGGAACACCAGUGGCGAAGGCGGCUCACUGGCUCGAUACUGACGCUGAGGUGCGAAAGCGUGGGGAGCAAGCAGGAUUAGAAACCCUGGUAGUCCCAUGAU
RNAcentral lists this ribosomal RNA (451 nucleotides) under uncultured organism. RNAcentral describes it as "partial 16S ribosomal RNA". It matches the Rfam family "Bacterial small subunit ribosomal RNA", at positions 334 to 801 of the family's 1533-position model. The record is from RNAcentral.